CUCUAUGGACACACCACCCUGAGGAUGCCCAAUCUUGGAAGCUAAGCAGGAUUGGGCCUGGUUUGUACUUGGAUGGGAGAAAGCUCAGGCUGUAUGCC
This is a ribosomal RNA of Ochotona princeps (American pika), 98 nucleotides long. The record is from Ensembl. Lineage: Eukaryota; Metazoa; Chordata; Mammalia; Lagomorpha; Ochotonidae.